RNAcentral lists this ribosomal RNA (253 nucleotides) under uncultured bacterium. Its description in RNAcentral is "partial 16S ribosomal RNA". It matches the Rfam family "Bacterial small subunit ribosomal RNA", at positions 524 to 776 of the family's 1533-position model. The record is from RNAcentral.
UACGUAGGGGGCGAGCGUUGUCCGGAUUUAUUGGGCGUAAAGAGUGUGUAGGCGGCCUGGUAGGUCUGCUGUGAAAACUCGAGGCUCAACCUCGAGACGUCGGCGGAAACCAUCUGGCUAGAGUCCGGAAGAGGAGAGUGGAAUUCCUGGUGUAGCGGUGAAAUGCGCAGAUAUCGGGAAGAACACCCAUGGCGAAGGCGGCUCUCUGGGACGGUACUGACGCUGAGACGCGAAAGCGUGGGGAGCGAACAGG